GUGGGGACUAGCCCGGGUGGUUCGACGUCACCUGUUACCCGAAACCGCCGGUAUGCGGGGGGCGAAGUCUGAGGACGGCUCGUGCGGUCUGCGGGAGUCUGGGGCAUCCUGACGUCGAUACCUCGUCCUGUGAGGCCGGUGGACAGGGAUCAAGGCUCCGGAGGGAGCGGCGACCUGUUGUUGCGGAUACCGGUUCAGGCCCGGAAGGGAGCAGACUCACCGUGAACAUCCGGCGCCCACAGGGUAGCGGGGUGGAGGAGGGGUGUGUCAGCGAACGUUGAUACGUGGUUCCAACCAAGGACGUGUCCCCAU
RNAcentral lists this signal recognition particle RNA (312 nucleotides) under Methanomicrobiales archaeon. RNAcentral describes it as "signal recognition particle sRNA". It matches the Rfam family "Archaeal signal recognition particle RNA". The record is from RNAcentral. Lineage: Archaea; Methanobacteriati; Methanobacteriota; Methanomicrobia; Methanomicrobiales.